This is a long non-coding RNA of Eriocheir sinensis (Chinese mitten crab), 3872 nucleotides long. RefSeq lists it as uncharacterized. The transcript has 12 exons. The record is from RefSeq and is a predicted model, not a curated record. Lineage: Eukaryota; Metazoa; Arthropoda; Malacostraca; Decapoda; Varunidae.
GGGGAGAGAGGAAGGGACGCUGUGCUUCCCCUUGUUAUCCUUGCUAUCCACGUGCCCCCCCUUGUUAUCCUCGUGCUCCCGGCCUUGUAGCGGUGCCGUGGCGGGGCGUGUAGGCGUUGACAUCACUCACGGUCAUCGGCACUGCCCAUACACUCAGUCCACCCUGGCGGGGACCUCACCAAUGACCUCCAUGAAAACAGGGUCCCAGACAAGCCAGUUGGUCUGAAGGCCAUGGCACUGAAUGACCACAUCAGGGUGUGCUGGCAGCCCCCCGCACAGCACAAUGUGCUGCUGUGCGGCUACACCAUUGCCUGGGACCAAGGCGUGGCGGACAUCUACUCCAAGAUCGUGGACAGCAAGCAGCACGGUUACAUCAUUGAUAAGCUGGAACCCAACAUGGAGUUUGUGAUAAGCCUGCGAGCCUUCAACAACGUGGGUGACGGGCAACCAGUGUACCAGCAAGUCCACACCCAGCCAGAGGAGGAGGAGGUGGUGGCACCCACGCUGGACCCGGCGGUGUGGGUGAAGGCCGUGGUGCUGACGCCCUUCACCGUGGUGCUGCAGUGGGCGGACACCAUGCUGAGCCAGAGCCAGCUGCACCACCUUCUCGUCCUCAUCCUCCAGCCGCUACGUCAACGCCACGGAUGUGACCUGCCUCAUUGACAGCCUCAAGCCAUCAACAGUGUGUGAGUUUGCUGUGAAGACCAUCAGGGUGAGACCACAGUGCUGGAAGCCUUCGUUCUUCUUUCAGUAAAUAUUCACUCAGUCCGGCAACACUUCUCAAGGAAAUCCUGCACAGCUGAAUCCUUGCUAUGAUGAGGCACAGAGAAAUUAUGACUCAUAGGGUUUGGCGUGAGUCCCCCUAUAGCCUGGUAGCCUCCAACACCCUGCUGGUGGCCUGGCCGUCCUGGCCCUCCCUGGCCAGCCGUCCACCACCACCUUCACCCGGCAGCCGCUGCAGCGGAACAAUGGGAGGAUCACAGGCUACGUGAUAUUCCUCACCACGGACCAAACUGUCGGUGACUGGGUGAUGGGGGAAGUGACGGGGGACUGGCUCACCCUUACCGUCCAUGGACUGACGCCUUCAAGGAAGUAUUUGGACAAGAUGCACUCUCACAAUGUCAAAGGUUUUGGUCCAUUCUCCUCCGUGGAAAGCUUCACGACUCUUCCAGCUGUUGACAAGAGCAUCGGUGAGCCCCCUGGCUGGUGUGUGGAGCGAGAGGCCUGAUUGUGCUGGUGAUCGCUGGCGUGGCAGGAGCCAUGACCAGCUGGGGGCCUUCUUGGCCACCACGCUGUACUGCCGCGGGUCAAGGCGGAGCCCAGGCCAAGCAUUGUUCUUGGCAGCAGCUGCAGUGAGAGCAACAAGCCUGGCGUCCAGCCUCCAGACCUGUGGAUCCAUCACGGCCACUUGGAGCUGAAGAACUUUGACAAGGGUGAGCGCAGCAACUCCCCCAACCACGCCUCCAUCAUCCAGCACACAGGAGUCGCGUCACAUCACAAUGGGACCGAAAAAGGACGAGAAGGGACAAGACAAGAAGAAAAGAUCUUCUGCUGCCUCUCCUGAUGAUGAUGAGCAACAAGAAGACACUCAAGAACAACCUGCCAAGAAAGUGAAGGGACGAUCCAAGAAGAGGUCAUUGUCUGCUACCGGGGAGACACCCCCUCCUCCAGCCCUCUUGCGUCACCAAUCCACUUGGACACAGGAGCCCCAACCUGGUCAUGAUGAUGCUGGGGCCUCAGCAUCACCAGACCUUGGGAGCAGCAGCCCAGUGCCAACACCAGGCCACAGGACCCCAGGCUGCCCAGCCCACUGCCAGUGCCGGGGAUCUUCAGACCCAUCUCCAGCCUUAGGGAAUGGAGGGCGGAGGGCUGCAGUGGCGGUGGCGGCUAUAAUUUGAGUCAACAGGAGGAAGAAGAAGAAGAAGGAGGAGGAGGAAGUGAUAAUAAGAGGAAUACCAAAAGAAGAACAAGAAUUUGAACAGUAGUAAUAGUAUUUGACUCUACACAUUCUCCCUCCCUCUCUCUCUCACACACACACACACACACACACACACACACACACACACACACACACACACACACACAGAGAAAACAUUUGAAAAUUCCUUAUUUCUAAUGUUUAUUAAUUUACAUUCUUACAUCAAUUUCCAAGUCAGUCUCAAUAGUACAUACAACACGAACAUAUACAUACAUACAUAAGUGUUUUCUCCUCCCUAUCUUUUUAUACUCCAGUUAGGUUCCUUCUUCUUGUGCUCAGUUCAUUGUAUUCCUUCUUUCCUGUUCUAUUUCUUCCCUCUCUGUCUCUUCCCUCUCUCCCUCUCCAUUCCUUCCUCAUAUCUGCUUCCUUUCCAUUCUAUAUUUCUAUCUCUUCAUUAGGUUUUUAUCCAUUUUUCUUUCAUUACACACACACAUAUAUUUGAGGCAUUUGGAAGGGAGGGGACGUAAGGGAAAGGCCCAUUGUGUUCUAGUCUGCACUGGGAAAGGAAGGUCCGGCUAUUCUAUGCAUUCCGAGAAACAAGUUGCAAGGGAAAAGCGACCUUGUGUUGGACGUACCAAGAGUUGCUUUCCCCUUGUAACUUGUGUUUUGUUCCUCCUGGGAUGUGUAGGAUAGCCAGACUUUCCCUUCCCAGUACAAACUAGAAAAAAAUAGGACUGUUCCUUAUGUCCCUCCUCCUCUGAAAGCCUCAAAUAUACAGUUACAGAUAACUGUACUUUACACAUUAACCUUGUAUAUAUUUCCUUUUUCUCAUCUCUGUUUAACUUCCUUAUUUAUCACUCAAGUUCUUUCUCCCUCCCUUUCAUCAUCUUUCUUCAUCUGUUUACCUGUCUACUCCUUCCUUGGGCUACCAGUGUCUCUCUCUCUCUCUCUCUCUCUCUCUCUCUCUCUCUCUCUCUCUCUCUCUCUCUCUCUCUCUCUCUCUCUCUCUCUCUCUCUCUCUCUCUCUCUCUCUCUCUCUCUCUCUCUCUCUCUCUCUCUCUCUCUCUCAGCUCACAGGCCACACAGGAUGUCACCCACAGGAAGUUGAUAACAUCCCACAGACACAUGCCCUCCCCCAGACACAUAAUGGACCCUAUCCUGACCCGCCCCCCUACAUAGCCACAUGACCUUCCUUAUGUCACUAUGUGUAUGUGUGUGUGUUUGUGUUCCAGCAAUAAAAAUAUCAAUUUGCAGAGUGUGUUUUGUAUUACAUUCAAAUGGGUUUCAAGAAAGAUAGAGAGAGAAGGAAGAAGAGAUGAGAGAGGACGGGAGGUAAAAAGGUGACAAGAGAGAGAGGAAGAAAGCAUCCAGAACAACAACAGUUUCCCUUGAGCUGCUUCACUAAAUAACAAUAAAAAUCAUGAUGAAACUAAAUAAAUAGAUACACCAAAUAAACAAAUAUAUAACAGAAAACCCAUGAAAUUAAUACAGGAAAUCUCUCUGGUGUCCAACUAGCCAGGAAUAAAUAGCAUAGGAUACCAGUGCCAAGUACUAGUACAUAUAAUACAUUGCUCCAUGGUGCUGUGGCUGGCAUGCCUACCUACCAAUCCGCUGGCCAGGGUUUGAAUCCCGGCCUGGGCAGUCAGUAUGCAGGUCAUCCUUUGUGUCUGGGUGAUCAUGUGUACCUGGAGACCCCUGGGGAGGCACCUGUGGUAGUUUGAGUGUGUCCCAGGGUGCUGGGCUCCUGCCUCCACGGCCUCCAGGGGCAAUGUAACAGAGAUGAGCACUGAGGCCACGCACACCAAACUUUACUUUUGACCUGGCCUAAGGAUAUGGGAUGUCUGGAUUUAACUCUACAAGAACACAACUAAAUAAGGAUUGGUGUACAGCAGCCGGGCUGCUCAAGUGGUGGCCGCAGUCUGCAUCUGGACCUUGUGAGUAUUGUGGCCACGGG